RNAcentral lists this ribosomal RNA (253 nucleotides) under uncultured bacterium. RNAcentral's name for it is "partial 16S ribosomal RNA". It matches the Rfam family "Bacterial small subunit ribosomal RNA", at positions 524 to 776 of the family's 1533-position model. The record is from RNAcentral.
UACGAAGGGGGCUAGCGUUGCUCGGAAUGACUGGGCGUAAAGGGCGCGUAGGCGGUUUGUGCAGUCAGGUGUGAAAUUCCCGGGCUCAACCUGGGGGCUGCACUUGAUACGUAUGGACUGGAGUGGGGAAGAGGGUCGUGGAAUUCCCAGUGUAGAGGUGAAAUUCGUAGAUAUUGGGAAGAACACCGGUGGCGAAGGCGGCGACCUGGUCCUUGACUGACGCUGAGGCGCGAAAGCGUGGGGAGCAAACAGG